UACGUAGGGGGCAAGCGUUAUCCGGAUUCAUUGGGCGUAAAGAGCGCGUAGGCGGCUUGGUAAGUCAGGUGUGAAAACCGGGGGCUCAACCCGCGGCCUGCACCUGAAACUGCCAGGCUUGAGUCUGGUAGAGGAAAGUGGAAUUCCCAGUGUAGCGGUGAAAUGCGCAGAUAUUGGGAGGAACACCAGUGGCGAAGGCGGCUUUCUGGGCCACGACUGACGCUGAGGCGCGAAAGCUAGGGGAGCAAACAGG
RNAcentral lists this ribosomal RNA (253 nucleotides) under uncultured bacterium. RNAcentral's name for it is "partial 16S ribosomal RNA". It matches the Rfam family "Bacterial small subunit ribosomal RNA", at positions 524 to 776 of the family's 1533-position model. The record is from RNAcentral.